This 404-nucleotide ribosomal RNA is filed under the name uncultured bacterium. Its description in RNAcentral is "bacterial SSU rRNA". It matches the Rfam family "Bacterial small subunit ribosomal RNA", at positions 356 to 774 of the family's 1533-position model. The record is from RNAcentral.
AGGGAAUUUUCCGCAAUGGGCGAAAGCCUGACGGAGCAACGCCGCGUGAGUGAAGACGGUUUUCGGAUUGUAAAGCUCUGUUCUGUGGGAAGAAGACAGUGACGGUACCAUAGGAGAAAGCCCCGGCUAACUACGUGCCAGCAGCCGCGGUAAUACGUAGGGGGCAAGCGUUGUCCGGAAUUAUUGGGCGUAAAGCGCGCGCAGGCGGUUAGUUAAGUCAGAUGUGAAAGGCUACGGCUCAACCGUAGAGUUGCAUUUGAAACUGGUUAACUGGAGUGCAGGAGAGGUGAGUGGAAUUCCCGGUGUAGCGGUGGAAUGCGUGGAGAUCGGGAGGAACACCAGUGGCGAAGGCGGCUCACUGGCCUGCAACUGACGCUGAGGCGCGAAAGCGUGGGGAGCGAACA